RNAcentral lists this ribosomal RNA (433 nucleotides) under uncultured bacterium. Its description in RNAcentral is "bacterial SSU rRNA". It matches the Rfam family "Bacterial small subunit ribosomal RNA", at positions 958 to 1392 of the family's 1533-position model. The record is from RNAcentral.
AACGCGAAGAACCUUACCCAGGCUUGAACAGCGAGUGACCACUCACGAAAGUGAGCUUCCGCAAGGACACUCGUAGAGGUGCUGCAUGGCUGUCGUCAGCUCGUGUCGUGAGAUGUUGGGUUAAGUCCCGCAACGAGCGCAACCCUUGUCUGCUGUUGCCAUCACGUUAUGGUGGGCACUCUGCAGAGACUGCCGGUGAUAAACCGGAGGAAGGUGGGGAUGACGUCAAGUCAGCAUGGCCUUUAUGUCUGGGGCUACACACGUGCUACAAUGGCAGAUACAAACCGUCGCGAGACCGCAAGGUGGAGCUAAUCGGAGAAAGUCUGUCUCAGUUCGGAUUGUCGGCUGCAACUCGCCGGCAUGAAGUUGGAAUCGCUAGUAAUCGCGGAUCAGCACGCCGCGGUGAAUACGUUCCCGGGUCUUGUACACACCG